UACGUAGGGUGCGAGCGUUAAUCGGAAUUACUGGGCGUAAAGAGUGCGCAGGCGGCGCCAUAAGACAGCUGUGAAAUCCCCGGGCUUAACCUGGUAACUGCGGUUGUGACUGUGGUGCUUGAGUGCGGCAGAGGGGGGUGGAAUUCCACGUGUAGCAGUGAAAUGCGUAGAGAUCUGGAGGAACACCGAUGUCGAAGGCAGCCCCCUGGGUUGACACUGACGCUCAUGGACGAAAGCGUGGGGAGCAAACAGG
Molecule: ribosomal RNA, 253 nt
Filed under: uncultured bacterium
Lineage: Bacteria
Description: partial 16S ribosomal RNA
Rfam family: Bacterial small subunit ribosomal RNA
Source: RNAcentral